This 119-nucleotide ribosomal RNA is filed under the name Pteropus alecto (black flying fox). Lineage: Eukaryota; Metazoa; Chordata; Mammalia; Chiroptera; Pteropodidae. The record is from RNAcentral.
GUCUACGGCCAUGCCACCCUGAACAAGCUCGAUCCCGUCUGAUCUCGAAAACUAAGCAGGAUCAGACCUGGUUAGUAUUUGGAUGGGAGACCACCUAGGAAGACCAGGUGCUGCAGGCA